AAACACUAACCUAUAAACUGAUCUGCUGAGCUGGACCAUCAACCUCUGUUUAUAUCCCCGCCACUCAUCUUUUGGCACUUAUCAAUAGCAAAAUCUAGAAUUGCAGAAACCCCAAUUUUAAUGAAUAUUAUUUUUAGUUGAUAAUUAAAAUUAAUUGAUGAUUAAUCUAUUCCGUUGUGCCUUAUUUUAUCGCCAAAUACUUUGAAUAUUCAAAUAUAUAGGGUUCACUAUUUAACGAAUACAAUUUUGAUGGUGGAUUGCAUUUCUUGAGUUAUAAAUGUGGUCAAUCCAUUAUUUACUAGCUGAAUAAUCAUAAUGUUUUGGCCACUUAUCUUGAAUUUUGUUCAAAUGGAAGAAGUCACAUGUUUCUUUCCGUUGUUGAGGAUGCUUGGCAAUCGCGAAAUGGGGGCCUACCUCUUUGGAAAGAGAAGUCUCGCUGUCCAACCUCUCACGAAUUACAAACAAGGUGCUUUCUUGCUGGAAAAACCACCGAACCAGUAGAACUUUCCUCGGUUCUUCAAUUCGAUUCGAAUAAAUUUUUUACCCAGAAAAGCCAGCGUUUCCUGAUUCUCUCACUCAUCUCUCAGCUCUCUCUCACUUUUGAGGUACAUGCGGUUGGAUUCCGUUUGCUGCUGCUGAUUUGCAGUCUGUGAGGGCUUCAAUCUGUUGGAAUUUUGAAUGGUUAUUGCUUCAUCGGAAUUUGGGUGGUCCAAAUUUUGACUUAGAAGAAACCCAUUUGAUUAAUAUUUUUGGUGGAUUGGUUCUCUGUGUUUUCUCUGUUAUUUCUCCCCCAGUUGGAAAGUGGAAGCCCCAACUUUGAGCUCAGAGCUUGAAUUUCUCAAUUGUUCGUUUCUCUGCACUCUCAUCAGUCACUCUUGAUUCUCUCUCUGAAGAACUGGAGUGAUGGAUUUUUGUAUGAAAUGCACUCAACCCUGAAUUCCAGUGGGGGUGGCUGAAGCAGCUGCCGGAUAUGACAAAUCGCAGCCAAGGUUCCCUAAAUUGUCCAUCCUUUUAGUUUUAUAAAGUAUGACAAUUUGAUAUACAUAUAUAUGUAUACGUAUAUAUAUAUAUAUAUGUAUGUAUGUAUGUAUAUAGAGAACUUACAUCUCUUGACAGAUUGUGUGGCUAGAUAGGUUUUCACGUACCUGACCAAAAUAAAGUUUAUCAUGUUAUUCUGUCCAACUAUUGAUUUGUAACAACGUUAUGUACAUACAUUUUACACACCAUUUUUAUAACACAAUUAUUCCUGUA
This is an RNA transcript of Pyrus x bretschneideri (Chinese white pear), 1251 nucleotides long. RefSeq lists it as uncharacterized. Lineage: Eukaryota; Viridiplantae; Streptophyta; Magnoliopsida; Rosales; Rosaceae. The transcript has 5 exons. The record is from RefSeq and is a predicted model, not a curated record.